AAGCAUGUUCACUUUGGAAAAUGGUGUAAGAUGCUAUUAAGGAUUCUUAGAAGUAAUAGAGUGUGAACAUAUCCAGUGUGCUGUGUGCGUGCUAACGGAAAAUUGGUGAUCAACUCGAGGAUUAUUGACAGUUAUGGUUUCCUCUUUAAAACAGAUCAUUUCAGUACCCAUUUGGUAUCUAUGUUGUUUUUUGUUUUUUCUUUUAGUUCAGUUGUCAAAGAAAAUUAUAUUAUUAUUUUUUCUUUUUGUUUCAUGAUGCCUAAAAAGUGAAAAAUAGGUUGCUGCAAGUGAAAAACACAGAAAGUGGCUUUUUUAUGUGUUUCAUCAAUAAUAUUUCAAGAUACAACUUUUUAGUAUUAGACAACAACAACCAAAAACAAAAAGCAUAAUUGAUACCAAACAGGUUUGUGUUUUCUGUUUUGUUUUGUCGCUUCUAGCUCCUUCCAAGGGGUUUGGUGAUCGGUGAAUUCUUUAUUCCCAUCGUUUUCGAUAAACUUUCAUUUUGUUUUUGGUUCAUUUGAAUAGGUUCAUUUGCAGGUUAUAAUUUUGAGGUCAUUGAUUCUUUUUGUUUCUUUUGAUAAUAAUUCACUGUGUGCAAGGCUUUGUGGGGAUACUGUAUGGAAAAAAAAUCUCUGUUUUUUUUUUCUAAGUAAAUUUAAAUUUUGAGAAAAGAACUUAAUUGCCACAGUUUCUUACUUGUUUACACUGCAAAAAUACAAGAAACUGAGUUUUAA
RNAcentral lists this unclassified non-coding RNA (734 nucleotides) under Hevea brasiliensis (rubber tree). Lineage: Eukaryota; Viridiplantae; Streptophyta; Magnoliopsida; Malpighiales; Euphorbiaceae. The record is from RNAcentral.